RNAcentral lists this long non-coding RNA (200 nucleotides) under Spirodela polyrhiza (greater duckweed). RNAcentral's name for it is "long non-coding RNA (SPOL_LNC000720)". Lineage: Eukaryota; Viridiplantae; Streptophyta; Magnoliopsida; Alismatales; Araceae. The record is from RNAcentral.
UUCCUUGUAUUUCUCCCAUCUGAUGGAGUAGGGAACAUUAACAAAUGGAAAUGGGCGGGUGACUAAAAAAGGCUGCUUCUUUCUAUGGACUUUGAAGAAAAGUUUAACUGAGAGAGAGAGAGAGAGAGAGAGACAGACAGACAGACAGUUCUGAAGCUCUAGAAAUAGACGGAGGGAGAGAGAGAGAGAGAGAGAGAGAG